Zonotrichia leucophrys gambelii is the source of this 6800-nucleotide RNA transcript. It is a transcript of the gene named interleukin 1 receptor associated kinase 1 binding protein 1, with no coding region annotated. Lineage: Eukaryota; Metazoa; Chordata; Aves; Passeriformes; Passerellidae. The transcript is spliced from 5 exons. The record is from RefSeq and is a predicted model, not a curated record.
GACGUCUUUUCCUCCCUUAACGCCGCCGUGAGCACGCCGGUCCCGGCGCGAGCGGGAGCUCCGGGCCCGCGCGGCGGCGCUCGGGAGCGCGCGGGCGCCGUGACGUGGCGCCCCAGGGUUGCCAUGGUGCCGUGAGGAGCCGCCAUAGCCACGGCCAUGGCGCCGCCCGCGCCCCCCCCUUCUCGCGUCUUCGCCGAGCUCGACCUGGCCCCGUCCCCGGCGGGACGCGUGGAGCCUGCGGCGCUGCCCGGGCGGGAGGUGCAUGUGAGCGGCAGCGCGGAGCUGAGCGCCCGCCCGGACCGGGCGCGGGUGUCGCUGCGGCUCGGCAGCCGCAAGGAGGCGGCCGGGGCGGCGCGGAGCAGCGUGUCCCGCCGGCUGCAGUACAUCGCGCAGACCGCCCGCCUAAACGGCAUCCCGGAAGAAAAUAUGACUGUAACAGAAGAUUUUAGCAGAGUAGAAAAUACUUACCAAAUGGAAGCAGAGGUCUGUAUCAUAUUCAGUGAUUUUGGAAAAAUGCAGAAUGUUUGCAAUCUACUCAUUGAAAAGCUAGGAACCUCUGUUACCAUCAAUCCACCUCAUUUCUACCAUACACCAGAAGCCAUAGACUCACUUCGGCCCAAUGACGAUCUGCUACCACCCUUUUCCUUCACAAGUGACAAUGAAACUCCAAGAGAAGAAGAGACAAGUUCAGAACAUAAUGCUACCUCCAACAACCAUGGUCCCUGGAAAGAGCUAAGGCAGCUUCUGUGUGUGUAUAUACAUGAAUCUUCCAACAAAGAAGUACCUAUGAAAACAAAUCCUGGGCCAGGGAAUAUGGGCCAUGUAUUCGCUGCUGUCCAUAAACAUUCCUGCCCAAAGUAACCCACAAUCUAAACACAAAAAAGUGAUGGAUGAAUACAGAUGGAGUUUAUGAAGCAAUCAGUAUCGAUCAAUGAACAGGCAGUGGCCUCUGCUCAGUGAUUUCAUGAAGAUCUGGAAGUCAGAGGAAGGCUAGGAAAAGUUGGGCUGAAAACCUGGCCGAUGUUUUGAGGGAUUUACAAGGACCAAGUUCAGUAAGCUGCAGCCUAAAGGUCAGAAGGCAUUUUGCUAAGUGCUUGUGACAUGACAGGCAAAGGCAAUUAAACCUCAAAACCAGCAAAAGAUGCUUGCCAUUGCUCUUGAAAUUAAAAACAAUUAAAAUGAACACAAGGCUGGGACAGCAGAACAGUGUAAGGUACUACAUAAAAAGAAUCAAUGUCUGCUGAGAAAUUCUUGGGGGUUCAGCUGGUGGUAACAGUACUGAGUGGAGAAAAGAAAGCAAGGAUGCAGGUGUUUUAGAAGCCAAAGAUGAGGGACAGUUGGAUAAAACUACAUCAGGGAAGGAACCAAAUGCACAAAAUGGGACAAUGUCAGUUCCCAGCUGAACAUGAAUUUUCUGCUAUAGGCGAAGAUUUUCAUGUUUUCCUCAUUUUCACUCCUCUGACUUAAUAAUUAGUGUCUUCCUGCCACUGAAGCAGCAUGUCAGUGGCAUGCAGAGUGUGCAGCACUGCAUUACCAGAUUAGCACUGUCAACAAAGGUUUAGCAUCUGAUUUUCAAAUACAAGGACUUAAGCAAAAGAAAUUUAAAGGCUUCAAGAAUUCUAACAAAAAUGUGUUUUUAAAUAGAUUUACACUCCAAGUAACCAGAUCCUCAAAAACAUUGCUUUUUCACUGAAACUGAUUAAACACAGAGGAUUACUUGCAUUUCUUAAAUGCAGUAAGGAACUCCCACUAGGAUGGCAGGAAUUUGGUCUGCAACAGUGUUUCUGAGGGUAUUUUAACCUGAGUUAUUCUGUGUAUAUAUUAAUAAAGCAAGAGUUUAGUACAUUCAGACCUGUUUCACUGGAGGAUAUCUGGGUUGUAGUUGUUCUUCUGGAGUGUUAGCUUUUACAUCCCAUCCAACAAUGACUCCUGAGUAGCCAAAUCUUCUGUGAAUUAUUACCUGGCCCACACGGAACUUAAUAUAUUCAGGCUUUGGACUGUGAACAUGAGCUGAUUCUAAUUUAACAAAGAAAGAGACUUAGCAAGGAUAAAAGUUUGGUCAGCUAUAUUAAGUAUUUUAACAGAAAUUAUUCUGACUUUACAUGAAGAGAACUGAUAAUUAGAUUAAUAGGGGAAUUAAAGAAGAGCAGGUGCUUUGUUUGUUUCCCCCCAGAAUAUUAAUUACUAUAAUUUACAAAGGAACAUCCACUAAGAAACUUUUCUAUUUGUAUGCAUUUGAUAUUACAUAGGGAUUUUAACAGAGUUUUAGAAAGCAUUAACACGUGUGUGCAUUGACAGUUACUUAAGCCUUACAUACAGUAUUUUACAGUGCUGACUUGUGGUAACUUAUUGUGACAUUAUUUUUGCCAGUUUAGGUCACAGAAUUCUUCUGUUCAGUCUGAUUAGGGACUUUUUUCCAGUAAUAAAGUGGUCAUCUAUUUCUUUUUUCUUCCUUCAAAAUACAUACACUGAGGUAUUCAGUAAAAUACAUACAUAUAGUUACAUCAUAUUGAUACUAUUACACAACACAGGGAAGAGGCCUUGGAUUUUAUGUUUACUGUUUUGUUUACUGAAUAUUAUCAAUCAUGUUUAGAGACACGAAAAAAGGAAAACAGUCUGCCAUUUACAAAUUAAGUAAAGAAAUCCACUAUAGAAGCCUUGUAGACAACAUCAUAAAUAAAUUAUGAAAUUGCAAAAACUUCAAUACCUGCAAGAUAAGAAUGGAGUUUUACUUCAUUGGCACCGCUUUUAGCUUUGUUCUCUCCAUAGUACCAAUUCCUAAAAUGUAACAUUAAUAACUCAACAUACAAACAAGUUCUUUAGAAGCUGAGUUUUAAUAAUAAUCAGAAGGUUAAUUAUUCUGAGUGGGAUACUGCAAAGCCUUUGAUACAAACUUCUUUACAAUUUGAAGCCUGCAUGAGUUUUACAUAAAAACACUUUUAAGGAAUACACAAGAAAAAGGAAUUUGUUCUAACAGGAAAAAAAGAGUAUGAAUCUCAUUUCUUUGAAUAUGUUACUCUACAGUUGCAUUAGAAUUUUUAUAUCAGAGGAAACUCACUAGUUUUAUAGAGGUGAGCAAACACUGCUCUGCAGUGUGAUUCUUCAGUAUCUUUUGUGAAUUUUUUUAAAAUUGGUUUAUACUGGUAUGGACAAGGUGUCUGGCAAUGAGUCCCUGCCUGAGGCUGCAGUAAGUGCAGCUUUUCCUUCUGCACUAGACUGAAUUUCAUCUGAAUGUAAAAGGUGGGCAGCAGGAGAUGGACAUGUUUAGAAAGGGGAAAUGGCUAACAUUUUUCAUUGCUAUAGUGAAAAGGAGAAAGGGUAAAAAAGCAAUGAAAAUAUGGAACAUUUCCUUCUGCUGGCAAUGUAACAGCAGCAGUCUAUGAAGAGGAGUUUGGGUAACAUUCUGCAUCCAUACUAGCCAGCAAACCAUUGGUGCCAAAGAACCACAGGUUGUCCUGGUCUCCUUCCUCUUUGAUGGUGCCUUUCAGUCUUACUCCCUUCACCCUGCCUGCAGGAAAAUGAGAGCAGGUUCCUGUGCAAACAAUGUUUUUUACAAAAGUUUGGGUUUAGCUCAAAUGUAUAGAAAGACUUAAGGCUGACAAGUACCUCUUAACAGAAAGAGGAGUGGGCAAAGUUAAAACAGCAGCUAAUAUAAGUCUCAAAUGACAUUAUUUUUAGAAUAGCAAAUUCUUUAUAAAAUAUUCAGAAGACACAGACAAUAUACUCUACACAAAAUAUAUACAAAUAAUCCAACUAUAUACAAAUAACCAAUGUAUCAUUGCAUCUUUGCAGGCUUUAUUUUAGAUAUGCAUGGAGCUUUCCAUGAAGUUGAGAAGCAAUUUAUGGUGAACCUUAGAAGAGCACAGUUUUUGAUUCCAGUCAUAGACCAUUCCUCUAGCUUUUGCUGGAAGCAAAACUAAGUCAGGAUCCUCCACAGUUCAGAGGACUUGACACCAUUGAUUAUUGUACAUGGAUCAAGAAUAAAGGACAUUUGAAGGUCCAUACAAAGUAAAACCUUUGGAGUAUUUCUACUCCAUGAAUUAAAUCUCACAAAUAAGGCCGUCAACAAACCGAAAGAAGUCCAUGAAGUCUUCUUAAAUUAAAAUGGUUUGUAUGUAUGAAUGGAUAGAAUUUUACUUUUUCUAGACCAAUCACUGUUAUAUGACCAAUAAUCAAAAUUUCACUACUUAGCACACAGAUUUUCUGUCUGUGAUUCCUAAUUCAGAUUUUGAACUUGAACUACAAUAUAGAGCAUAAGAUAUCCAUCCAAUGCUAAAGCAUCUGAUGUGGCUAAUUGUUCUGCCUUCAGAGUCAGAUAAAUUUGAGGAUAACAUGUACAGAAUUACUGCAUGAGUUACAUUUAGUUUCACAUGGAGUUGAGUUUUGAUGUUUGUGUAGAAAGUUCCAGAUGAGUCUCAGAAGUAAAUGAGAGAUAUUUCCUCUUUGUCACUUACUCCCCCACAGCACGCCUUCCUGCUCAGAGCAGACCAUGGCUGAAAUCUCCUAGGUGUGGACAGUAACACCCUACCUUGUCUUUGAGAGCCACAGCUUUAAAUGAUCUGCCCAUGCAUCCAGACUCAAGUAUUUUUUUCUGUGAAUGUGGAUGAACAAGUGGCGUGAACCGCUAUGAAUAGAAGUCCGGUGGUUUUCUCUCAUGUGAUGUUUAUGCAAAAUAUGUCGUAACCCUGUAACCCAGCCUCAUGUCCUGCCUCUCUCUACGCUGUUGGUACUUCAGAGAGCUCCUGGUGCGCCCCUGGCCCGGCAGUGUCACGGCUGGAUGCCGGCACAGCUGAAGCAGGAGCGUCCUCAGUGGUUUCCAUAGCACGCGUGUCAGCAGCAGGAACUCCGGGCUGCCCCUGCUCCAGGGAGUCAAACCCGGCCAUGAGCCCCAUGUGUGUCACGGAUUGCUGUGGUGUAAAUUCAACUGCAACCAGAUCGGCUGAUGGCACCCAAAUCAGAGUGGGAGCAAACAGAGGAGGCAGACAAACUGCAAAUGAUCCAGAGAGAUCGGAGCAAUGGGAACAUUAUAGACAAGAAGAGAGAUUCAUCAGUGGUAAACGUUGAGCCUUACCAAGAGAAAGGAAAUGCUCCAGCCAUCACUUCUCACUGAGCACAGCCCUCCAAAGAGCAAGGCUCUGAAAAAAGCCAAAAAUGUUACCAAGCCAUACCUAGUGAACAUGUGGGAACUAAGGGCCCAGGCCUAGGAUGGAAUUUUGUUGAUGGAUUUAAACCUGUGCAACAUGGCAGGAAUGCCCAAUUGAAAACUCACAUGAAUACUAGCCUACACUAGAAAUACAAAUUCUACCUAAGAAAAAUAUUUUUUUAAUCAGAAUCAUAGAUGGUUUGAGUUGGAAGGGACCUUUUCAAGGGCACCUAAUCCACCCCUCUGCAAUAAGUAGAGACAUCUUCAGCUAGAUCAGGUUGUUCAGAGCAACCUGUUUGCCUCACAGAGCCCACCCCAAGGAGAACAGACUCCUUUGGGACAUUGUGGCUGUGUUUGCAUCACCAAUCCCAGGCUGCAGUAAAUUCUGGGACCUACCAGCUCCCUUGAGCAAAACCUCAGGAGCCAUGUAAACACCUGAUCCUACCUCAGGGUGGCUGAAGGUGUUAGUGUGACUCAAGCAACUUAUUACUACCCAAACGUUAAGACAUCUUCUUAACAUAAAGUAAAUCAAAUUGCAAGAUGCUUCUUUUACAAAAUAGCUUAGUGCCCAUGUGCUUGAGCAGAGAUCUUCAGUGCAAGAGCCAGAAAGAAACCAGCCCUGUGUGUUCUGUCAUGAUGCAGAGGUGGGCAAAGAGGCCAUAGCCAGAGGAAAAUUACAACUUCAUAAAUUAGCAUGCAAGAAAAAAGAAACAAUCCUGACCAUAACACAAUUUCAGAUGAUCUGCCCUUUCUUAGGACAAUGCUUAUGUGAAUUUUCUAGUAACUUUUCCUAAACAACUUAACCACUGAUUUCCCUUGUAAACUUUAUUGAUCAGAAGUUUGGCACACAUUGGUGCACAUUUAACAGCCUCAAACAUUUUACAAGCAUGAAACAGCAUAAAUGUUUUGAGUUCCAGAUAUUUAAUCUUUCCCCAUGCAUGCAGACUAAUUGCUGUCAAUGAAAGACAGCAACAGUACAGACUACACAUCUACCCAGCUCCUCAUGUUGAGAUUUUAGCUGGGUAAAAAUAGGCAGUGUAUUGAGAGGCAAUCAUUAAUUAAGGACUUCUAAGUAGUUCUUUUUUUAAAGCUUUUGACAGCUGUAUUUCAAUUCUUAGCAGUUCAUGGAAGUUUACUCCGUCUUCUUUAAGAGUUAAGAGAAUUCAAGUUUUGAAUAAGGUGCUCAAAUUUCAGAAAAAUAACCCCACUAGAUUUCUCUGCUACAGAAUACAAAUGCAGUAAUUCUUUCUAAUAUUUUAAUCAGAUUCUAACCAGGUUUGCAUUUUAAGUUGUCUUUUUUAUUUUGAAUAUUCUUGUUCAAAGUCAGAUUCCAAGAUCUGAGACAAAACACAAAUUAACAGCUGAGGUUGCCUGGCUCUUGAAUGCUAACAUUGUUUGAAGUCAAUACCUCCAGGAAUAGGCUUCUGCAGAAAUUUGAUGCUGAAUGAGUUGGUUACCUGCCUCUUGCUUUCUCCUUCUUGAGUUUUUUUCAGUUGUUUUCUUGGUUUUUUUGGGUUUUUGUUGUUGUUGUUAUUUAUGUAUCUAGCUAAAGUAAAAUGAGAGGCCAACAGACCAAGUUUAGGUAAAAUCUUCCCAUUUCAGAGACAAGAAAAGGAAGCAUGAAGGAAGUUCAUAUGGCUGUUACCAGAGUAGGAAC